RNAcentral lists this transfer RNA (72 nucleotides) under Phrynosoma platyrhinos (Desert horned lizard). Its description in RNAcentral is "tRNA-OTHER". Lineage: Eukaryota; Metazoa; Chordata; Lepidosauria; Squamata; Phrynosomatidae. The record is from RNAcentral.
GCCAGCAUGGCAUAGUGGUUUGAGUGUUGGACUACUGUUCUGGAGACCAGGGUUCAAUUCCCCACUCAGCCA